Molecule: transfer RNA, 63 nt
Filed under: Gessius rufidorsus
Lineage: Eukaryota; Metazoa; Arthropoda; Insecta; Hemiptera; Cicadellidae
Description: Gessius sp. 'rufidorsus' tRNA-Pro
Source: RNAcentral
CAGCAAAUAGUUUAAUUUAAAAUUUAAUUUUUGGGGAAUUAGGAUAGUUUUUAUUUUUGUUGA